CCUACGGGAGGCAGCAGUGAGGAAUAUUGGUCAAUGGACGAGAGUCUGAACCAGCCAAGUAGCGUGAAGGAUGACUGCCCUAUGGGUUGUAAACUUCUUUUAUAUGGGAAUAAAAUGUUCCACGUGUGGGAUUUUGUAUGUACCAUAUGAAUAAGGAUCGGCUAACUCCGUGCCAGCAGCCGCGGUAAUACGGAGGAUCCGAGCGUUAUCCGGAUUUAUUGGGUUUAAAGGGAGCGUAGGUGGAUUGUUAAGUCAGUUGUGAAAGUUUGCGGCUCAACCGUAACAUUGCAGUUGAAACUGGCAGUCUUGAGUACAGUAGAGGUGGGCGGAAUUCGUGGUGUAGCGGUGAAAUGCUUAGAUAUCACGAAGAACUCCGAUUGCGAAGGCAGUUCACUGGACUGCAACUGACACUGAGGCUCGAAAGUGUGGGUAUCAAACAGGAUUAGAUACCCCAGUAGUC
Molecule: ribosomal RNA, 460 nt
Filed under: uncultured bacterium
Lineage: Bacteria
Description: partial 16S ribosomal RNA
Rfam family: Bacterial small subunit ribosomal RNA
Source: RNAcentral